RNAcentral lists this ribosomal RNA (412 nucleotides) under Salmonella enterica subsp. enterica serovar Paratyphi B var. L(+) tartrate +. RNAcentral describes it as "bacterial SSU rRNA". It matches the Rfam family "Bacterial small subunit ribosomal RNA", at positions 1100 to 1512 of the family's 1533-position model. Lineage: Bacteria; Pseudomonadati; Pseudomonadota; Gammaproteobacteria; Enterobacterales; Enterobacteriaceae. The record is from RNAcentral.
AACCCUUAUCCUUUGUUGCCAGCGAUUAGGUCGGGAACUCAAAGGAGACUGCCAGUGAUAAACUGGAGGAAGGUGGGGAUGACGUCAAGUCAUCAUGGCCCUUACGACCAGGGCUACACACGUGCUACAAUGGCGCAUACAAAGAGAAGCGACCUCGCGAGAGCAAGCGGACCUCAUAAAGUGCGUCGUAGUCCGGAUUGGAGUCUGCAACUCGACUCCAUGAAGUCGGAAUCGCUAGUAAUCGUGGAUCAGAAUGCCACGGUGAAUACGUUCCCGGGCCUUGUACACACCGCCCGUCACACCAUGGGAGUGGGUUGCAAAAGAAGUAGGUAGCUUAACCUUCGGGAGGGCGCUUACCACUUUGUGAUUCAUGACUGGGGUGAAGUCGUAACAAGGUAACCGUAGGGGAACC